GUUGGAAAUCUGCGGAAAAUCGCCUUGAACCAGAGCGUUUUCGGCAAAAUGGGGCGUGUGGAAUGAGGUAUGAUGUGGGUGCUUUUCACUCGUUAAUCGUUUGAAGCGAGAUCUCUUCCUCCUCAUCCUCAAUGGAUCCUCGAUAGAGUUUCAGCCGUUGGCCAUUGACUUUAAAUGGAAUCCCAUUUCGAGCUUUAAUUUCUACUGCACCUUGAGGAAAAACAUGGGUGAUGGA
Molecule: long non-coding RNA, 235 nt
Filed under: Helianthus annuus (common sunflower)
Lineage: Eukaryota; Viridiplantae; Streptophyta; Magnoliopsida; Asterales; Asteraceae
Description: hypothetical non coding rna
Source: RNAcentral